AGAGCAAGUAACGUCUAAAUUAACUUUUUUUUGCUGAUGAACUGUAUAAAUGAGUGUCUAAUAGUGUUUUAAAUGUGUGUAUUCAUUAUUUUAGCAUUUUGGUGCAUUUUCUUAAAAAAUUAAAAAUUCUGCCUAAAUACCACAGUAUAGCUCCACCUUCAGCUUAAAACAUAGAAUUUGACUCAUUUUGAAUAAAUUUUAGCCAAUGGCUAAAGAGUAAGAUACUACGUAAUCCAGUAGAGUACUACGUAGCAGCUCUGUGUCAACGUUAUAAAAGCAUCGGGAGUCUCGGCCACGCCUUGUGGCGAAUUGGGAGUUGGAUUUGCAUGAGAGUGUAGGAGGCUAGCCGUAGUUCAGCAUUAGCAUAUAGCAUUAGCAUAUCCUAGUCUUUAGCAUAGCUUUUAGUGUUAUACAUACUUAUUUAGUGUUAGCUUGGCUGUUGGAUGUUGUAGUUUAGUUACUGUUUGGCUGUUAGUGUAAUUAGGAAAGUAGUUCGGGUUUAGUGCUCCAUAUCGUGUUAGCAUGGUGAGAUGGUGUAGUGUAGUAUGGUUGCGGAGCUCUGUCGGGUUGCACUCCUUUCCGCUGGACUUAGAAAUUAGGCGCCAGUGGUUGCGUGUCUGGAAAAGAUUCAGCUCCCGCCUGGUGCUGUAGUUUGCAACCAGCAUUUUACCCGCGAUUCUGCACGUCUCCGUUCCAAGAGGGAGGCUGUGCCCACCGUGGCUCUUCCGCGAUUUAGAUGCAGCCCACCGACUCUGCUCCCCCACCAUGACGGGCUACAGUCUGAGGCUAAAUCUACCCAAGACACUGGCUGUCAGACUGAUUUAGUAAUCUGCAAGAAUGCACUUGUCCAGGCUGACGUGGUGUUACCCGUAGCAAAGAGCUCACAGCCUCAGUGUCUUGUGACACAGGGACCAUGACAGAAAUUCAUCUUCCAGAAGGUCCCAGAGCAUCCACACCUCCUGAAAAGACCACGGUGUGAGGUGUCUGCUGUUGAUUCCAGCUUCCACCUCAGUGACAGUGCAAGCUCAGUGAACUGUUCAAGGAGGCUACUGAUUCUGGCACUGUGACACUUGGUGGUCACCACCAGGUGGUGACGUGUGAGCUGAUUCACCUGGACACUCAGCAAAAUAUGGACUCUACACCAUGAGGCAGGCACACGUUAAUAACUCUAUAAGAGCACAUAAGCCUGGCUGAUCACCUGAUAACUCCUGUCAUCUGGUUAUGACAGCAUGAGGAUGUCCUCACACACCUGUAACCUAUCAGCUCAUCUGGCAGAAUAGAGAGAGAAGAGACAACACCACAUCUCCUGUUCCUGGAAAGCCUUCAGCCAACCUUCGAUGACUGAGAACCUCCAUCAGCUCUGUC
Nothobranchius furzeri (turquoise killifish) is the source of this 1365-nucleotide long non-coding RNA. RefSeq lists it as uncharacterized. NCBI's taxonomy places the organism in Eukaryota, Metazoa, Chordata, Actinopteri, Cyprinodontiformes, Nothobranchiidae. The record is from RefSeq and is a predicted model, not a curated record.